Molecule: long non-coding RNA, 6326 nt
Organism: Siniperca chuatsi (mandarin fish)
Lineage: Eukaryota; Metazoa; Chordata; Actinopteri; Centrarchiformes; Sinipercidae
Exons: 3
Source: RefSeq, a predicted model, not a curated record
CCUCGCUCUGUCUCUUUGUGAUUGAGUGAGUUGAGAAGUUAGUUGGAUACCCUUCUACUGUCCUUCAAGGUUAACCACAGACACACACACACACACACACACACACACACACACACACACACACACCUCUCUGUGUACAUCAUUUCAUUGGCACUUAUAGGCCUUUCCACUCUUGCUGGUAUUUGACAUGCUUGGCUUAAUGUAUGGGGAACAUCUUUUAUCAUCACCUUCUGUGUGUGAGUGUGCAGGUGUGUGUUUGCAUUUUUGCAUGCAUAUGUGUGUGUGUGAGUAUGUGUGGCUGGCUCAUUUAGAUUGUGGACCGUAUGAAUUUCCAUUAUGCAGGGUUGACAAGGAAAUGGCCCAAUUUUUAAUUGGUGGGGAUUCGCCUGCAACACAAGGUCAUUGGCUGAUAAUAUGUCAAUUAUCUGUCUCACAGCUGAGAGAGCGAGCUGAGAGAGAGAGACACACGCACAGAGAGAGAGACACACACACAGAGAGAGAGACACGCACAGAGAGAGAGAGAGACACACAGAGAGAGAGAGAGACACACAGAGAGAGAGAGAGACAUGCAGAGAGAGAGAGAGACACACAGAGAGAGAGAGAGAGAGAGAAGAAGGGAAGUAGAAAAUGAGAGGAGACCAGAGGAUGGACAUAGCCUCAUUUGACUUGUCAGCUAUCUAUCCCAGCAGUGAUCUGAGAGACCAAACCGAACACCACACCACACACACCCACCCACCCAUCCACCCACACACACACACACACACACACACACACACACACACACACACACACACACAAGGCAAAGUCACCUCCAGGCACAACAGCAGGAACUCUUCAAAGCACCAGUCAGCUCUCUUUCUUAUGCUCUCCUUCUCGCUCUACUCUGUCCACAUGCACUCCCAGGUUAAGAGGGUUGUUUAAUAUGCUAAGGAGAUGCACCAUGAUGUGAGUUUUAAUGUAGCUUUCUCUCUCUGUCUUUUCUGUCUCCUUCUGUUUGGUAUUUCUCUAUCCAAAUAUAUAUAUUCCCUCAUUUUUAAACAAUUAUUUGUGAAAUCAAGCAAUUGUAUAAUCUGAGUUUAUACCUCUCCUUAAACUUGAGCUUGGUGUCCCGCUUGGCUUUGCGCUUCAGAGCAGGAACCCCCGAGGACAUCCUUGUUGACAUUAGUUUUGUCCAGAGGAAUAUCCGCAAAGUAUCUGUUGAACACCCUGAUAAAAGCCUUGAUGUUGGACUUUUUGAGUAUCUUCUAUGCUUGUUGUCACUUCAAGGUUGAUGCCUGUAAGGUGAGCAUAGCUGUAAGGACAGUCAGUCAUGAAUGCUGCUUCCCCACUAAUAUGGCACAAUAUGUUCUUUUCAUUGUUUUUACUGUCCACAUGUUUUUUGGCCUGCUAUUUGUAUAAGAUAACAAUAUUGCCAGGGCUGAAUUAGCACAACUGUGGCUAAUUCUGAUAGCGAUCAGCAAAUGUGCUAUCUCUUUCUGUCUGUAUCUCUCCUCCUCCUCACCAGUAAAUGUCUAGUACACUGGCCACCUGACUCUGUUUGAUAGAAAGGUAAUGCAUCAACACAAGAGAUGAGAGGAAAUGGAGAUCUGAAGAUGGUUACGUCCAGGUGUACAUCGCCUGGUCUCUCCUCAUCAUAAGAAAAUGUUGAAAUAUCAAUAUUAGUAGGCCAAUUGACUUCUUCCAUUUGAUAGAAAUCUAAAUAUGUCUUCCCUUAUUUUUUAGAGUGAAGGCAUGUAAGAGUAGGUGACAGCAAAACAUCAAUGCUGCACAUUCACUGUCAGAAAUAAAAGAAGAAGAAAUAAAACCAGGUCCUGCAAAAAAAUCCUUGCAUCACACUUUGAUCUUUGGCGAUAACUUUUCCACCAAAAAAGUGAACUUUUUUGCAAACUCUAGGUCUUUUUUCAAGCAUAGGUAUAGGGGCAUAUUCAAAAUGUGCAUUAAGAACAAAUAGGUAGAUGGAAACUCAGCAGCAUUCUCUUUCUUUACCCUCGAUGCUGCUGCUCUUUCGCUCCGCUGAGGCUUCACUCAGAUGUGACUUCAACACUUCACAGACCGCUGGCCUCCAUACUAUGUCUAUGUAUGUGUGUGUAAAGCUUCUAUUGUUUCUCUCUUCAUCUCUCCCCCUAUUCUCCUCUUCACUUCCUCCUCAAUAUCCCCUCUUCUCCUAUCUCACCCUCAGCCUGGUUUCUCCUCUGUGUCUUUUUACUCUUCUACUCCUCACCUUACUUUUUCUCCUUCCUCUUCUUUUUCCAUUUCCUCCUUCACCCUUCUCCCCUCUCCCUCCUCUCCCAAUCUAUUCAUCUCGACAUGUGUGUCAAUUUGGAUGGAGUGGCUCCCGCCGUGGCAAGGCUGAGAUGGGUGGAUCAUGGAGGGAAGAUGCGAUGGAGGGCCGAAGGGACAGAUGCACCAAGCGAUAGAUAGCGGAGGAUAGAUGGAGGGACAUCUGAUGUUCUCUCGCUGGGGCAGCCAUGAGUGUAGUUGCAAUCUGUAAACACACACACACACACACACACACACACAGUUGGGAAAUUAACACAGGGGAAAUCUGUGUCCUCUCAAACAGAGAAAAUUAACACAACAGGAAAUUGGUUUCUGCUUUCUGUGCAAAUGCGACAGUAUAUCCCUUGAUAAAUGAUAUAUAAAUGAUAUGUGUAAUUUAUUUAGCUACAAAGGAAGAUAGAGGAUGAUGAUUAGGAUAGAGAAUAAGCGAGAGAGAAAGAAGUAAGCAAACUUUAAUUCUUAAAAGAAUAGAUUGACAUUUUGAAACACGCCUUUUUGCUUUCUGGCGGAGUUAAAUGAGAAGAUUGAUAGCACUCUAAGAUCUGUCAGUUAAAUAAGAAGCUACAGCUAGCUACGGUUAGCUUAGCUUAGCACAAAGACUGGAAACGGGGAAACAGAUAGCCUGGCUCUGUCCAGCGGUAACAAAAUUCAACUACAGUACCAGCUCCUCGAAAGCUCACUAAUUAACAUGUUAUAUCCUGUUUGUUUAACUCACACAAAGACUGAAGUAUAAAAAUGACAGUUCGCUGUUUGAUGGUAGGUUAUAUGUUGGACAGUUUCUUAGCUGGGAGCAUUAACUUCCUGGAGAGUCCGCUGGUUGCCUGGCAACUGUACGGAUUAAACAAAUGAGAUAUAACGUUAUUAUUGAUCUUCAGAGGAGGUGGUAGGUGGAUUUUGUUGUCAUUGGAAGGAGCCAGGCUAGCUGCUGGCUGUAGCCUUAUUCUUAGCGCACAGACAAAAGAGUCGUAUCGAUCUUCUUGUCUAACUCUCCACCAGAGAGGGAUUAAGCGCAAUUCUGAAAAUGUCAAACUACUCCUUUAAACUCUAACAAGGACUCUGACAGGCAACCGUGCUAACCGAGAGAUCAAACGCCAUGGCAACCAGUGGCUUCUGUGAUCACCGCGGAUACGGUGAGACAGCUGACCACUUUGUAGUUCCCCUUUUACAUGUACUUUUGUGUGUAUGUGUGUGUGUGUGUGUGUGUGUGUUUGUGUGUGCACAGUUACCAGGCUCAUUCAGUUGUACAGGAAUCUGAAGAAAAUAUUAUAGUGUGUAUUUGUGAAUGGUUAAGUUUUCUUGUGUGUGUGUGUCUGUGUGUGUGUAGAAAGAGAAAGAAAAAUGAUCCAUGGCUGUGUGUGUCUUUAUUCGAUUAUCUAUUAGUGUGUGCGUGUGUUUGUGUUUUCCGUGUGUCCACAUGUGCGACUGACUGUGGCUGAGUGUCUCCCCAGGCUUUUUUCUGAUAGACCACUACUGGGUGUUGUGGAGAUGAAAGGGAUGCUGGGAACUCAUCUCAUGCUAUGAAUCCUGGCCGCAAGACAACCAGUGGAGCUGCUCAUGCGAUAGAAGACCAUUUAUAAGGAGCAGCUCUCAGAUUCAAAACGAAGUUAUGAAGCUAAAGCAGUGGUCACAAUGCGGGAGGUCAGGAAGACUGAUAAUCUGGACUUUUUGACUUUUUUCAAGUCCAUAAUGACCAAUGGAACUGACAGUCAUCGGCCACCGAUGAACACCGGUGACCCAGGCUGAGUCGAUACUAAUCAGCAGUGUCGUUUUCUCGCAGAUGCCAAAGGAAGCUGGGUUUCUACUAUAGUGAUUAAACCAUUUUCUUUAUCAUAUAACAUUUAACAUGUAUUUAUUUGUGUUGUUGUAUUGUGUUAUUUAUUGUAUUGUGGUCAUUUCUUCCCCAGUUUUCAUUGAGUUUCUAAAAAUGUGGCAGUGGUGGAAAGUAACUAAGUACUAGUUCAUUUACUCAAGUACUGUACCUAAGUCAAUUUUUAAGUACUUGUACUUUACUUGAGUAAUUCUAUUUCAUGCUACUUUCUACUUCUACUCCAUUCAGAGGCAAAUAUUGUACUUCUUACUCCACUACAUUUAAGUGACAAUUUUAGUUACUGCUGCUUUGAUUCUGAUUAAUAAUACAAAAUAUAAUAAACAAAUAAAUUAUGAUGUUUUAUUAUAGCUUAAGAUAAGACUUUCACAAGCUACCUGGCAGUAUAUGAAAUAAUUAAAAUUAGCCCCACCUUUACCAGCUGCAACAUUAAAGUGAUGCCAACACAUUAAUGCAUUAAUAAUUAUAAUCCAGUGAUAUAAUACACAUCCUGAAAUGGGCCAUUCUGCAUAAUGAGUACUAUUAUUUUUGAUACUUUAAGUAUAUUUUGAUUUGUAGUAUGUGGAAAACAAUGGUAUUGUGUUGCUAUAGAAAUAACAUCCACCAAUGUGAAGCCAGGUGAAGCUGUCAUUUCUUGAUUAGUAAUUUGCUAGCUAGACAAACUUAAAGGCCCAGUGUGUAGGAUUUAGUGGCAUCUAGCGGUGGAAUUUCAGAAUGCAACCAUUUGAAUACCGCUCGCCUCACCCUCCUCUUCCAAGCGUCUAGGAGAAACUACGGUUAGCAGCUAGCAGAUAUGAAAGGUGGAUUUCUAGACAUUUGGUUACUGCACAGUGUCUGUCUGAGAAUAGGAACUUCUGAGGCCGAGCUACACUGAAACUGGACUUAAACUCAGGUAGAAAAAGAGGAUGGAGUCAGACUACAUGGACAUAUGAGAGUUGGACACUUAACCAACAUAUCAGUGGAGUCCUCUGUGGUGGAAGAAGACCUCAAGUCCAGCGGGAAAUUACAUGACUUGAUUAUGAUUACUUUUCCACCAUGAAGGGUGCAUUAGUCUUCAAAUACCGGAAGGUGAGACAAACACAACCUAUUCUCUGGUCACUCUGUGAGCUUCCUGCUGGCAAAAUGGCCCGCUGUGGCUGUUUGUGUGAAUGAAUACAACGCUACUAUGCAAUGUCGAUGUGAUUAUAUUGCUUGUAAUGGGCUUGUUUGCCUUUGGCACUGGGUGAGAUCCACAUAUGUACAGACAUUCAGCAUCAUAGACAGAGCCUGAGGGGCUUUGCAAUGUGUGAUGUGUUUAGUUUUUGUAGCCUGUGCAGAGGUCUGGUAGUUGCUUAAUUGGAUUUUUGUUCAUUCUUGCUUUGCUUUUUAGUAAUUAGCUUAACUUGAUAAGGAAUGUUGUAUGUAGGCUAUUUUUGUGUAAGUUUGAUAUGUGCAUUGAUAUUUCACCAUGGUCUGUACUUGUUGUAGCCGAGUAACUGAGGAGCUUUGUAAUACAGUCUCUAUAAGUUUUUAUAUUAAGAAGAUAGUUCAGGGAUGCUGUAAGUCAUGUUACUAGGUUUGUGCAUUGUUUCAUUUUUAUUUGAAGAUAAAUCCGUUAUCUAUGUGGCAUCCUGCAGUUGCAAGAAAAUAGGCUGAUUCUAGUAUUUUCAUUCUCUACAUAUUUAAAUUCUACUACUUUGUAUAAUAUAGAGGCUUAUAAAUAAAUCAAUGAAAUGAUUCAGGGUUUCUCCACCAGAAUCUUACCCCUGGCAAUGUGGAGAAGGCUUUAAAAGAGCAUUUAGUUCUUCGUGCUGGGGAAGUAAAAUUUACAGACAAUAUAAUCGAACAGUUAAUGAAAUAUACAUUUUAGACUUUAUUUUCAGUGUUUUAUCAAAAUCCUUUGGGGUAGGGGAGGACUUGGAUUUAUGACCUCAGUAUUCCCAAAAUCCUGGCUAUGUCCCUGUGUGUGAGGGAGAGUACUUAGGUUCUAAAAAGGUUAACUUUGCUUGUAUAUCAAUACCAACAGGGUCACAUGUCACACUUGGGUGCCCACAGGUCAUGGAGAUGUGGACUAUUACUCUUUCACUGUAUGCUCAUAACUUAUACAAUGUGUCUCAUUUGGAACUUGUUAUUGUACUUUUAUGUUCUUUGUUAUGUUUUGUGCUACUGCCUGUGUUAAACAUUAAAUGCAUAUAUUGUGAGGUAAAUUUGAGUAUACAGUUGUCCGUUAUAAAGUUUGCAC